UGAUUACAAGUCUAUAUAAUAGGAUUACAAUUAAAGAAAGAAUAAAAUACUGGCAAGGGAAAUCAGUUCCACUAAUCUAGUAGAGUCAGUCCAUUAGUCUAGUCUAUACAGUAGGAAAUAAAAUCAACUAAAUAAGGAGAGAAUUAUAAUAGGAUUACAAUUAAAGAAACAAUAAAAUACUCUGAUAAUUUUGUGCAAAGAAUAAAAUACUCUGAUAAUUUUGUGCUCUAUCAUACCCCCGCAAGCGUAAGGGUCCCAGAAGGACACUAAGCUUGGACCAAUAAGUUUGGAACUGCUUCCAAGCUAAAGGUUUAGUGAGAGAGUCAGCAAGUUGAUCUGUAUUACGGACAUGUGAAAUGUGAAGUAACUUGUGAGAAACUUGAUCAUGCACAAAAUGAAAGUCAAUGACAAUGUGUUUCAUACACGAGUGAAAAAUAGGGUUGGAGCAUAAGUAAGUGGCACCAACAUUGUCAUGGUAAAUUGUUGGAGGAGCUGGGAUUGAUACAACUAGUUCUCGUAGCAAGUUAGUGAGCCAAUUCACCUCAACAGUAGCAGCAGCAAUAGCACAAUAUUCGGCCUCGAUUGAAGAGCGGGCUAUAGUAGAUUGUUUCUUAGAGCUCCAACUAAUAGGAUUGGAGCCAAGAAAUACAACAUAAGUAGAUGUAGUGUGAUGUGUAUCAACAUCACCACUCGAGUUGGCAUCGGCAAAGGCAUGAAGUGCGAGGGGAUUGAGCUGAAAUGAAGACACCAUAAUGAGGGGUUCUUUUGAGAUAGCGAAGAACUCAUUUAAUAGCAAAGCCAACGAUUGGAGGUUGGUUUGUACAUGAAUUGAGCCAACUUGUUAACGACAUAGCUAACAUCAGGCCGUGUAAGAGAAAGAUACUGAAGUGAGCCAAGCACCUGACGAUAAUCAGUUGGAUCAUGUCAUGGGAACCAUCAUCAAGUUUGAGCGUUUCUAAAAUGGACCGUUGGAUACUAACUUCCUUGGCCUUUUGCAUAUUAGUUCGUUGAAAAAGCUCUAGAAUAUACUUUCUUUGAGAUAGGAACAAACCAUUGGAGGUCCGAGCUGUUUCAACACCUAAGAAGUAGCUAAGUUUGUCGAGAUCUUUGAGAGAGAACCUGUUAGAUAGCUCACUAGUGAAAUAUUGAAGAGUUGGAGGAUGAUUACUGGUAAGUAUAAUGUCGUCCACAUACGCAAGCAAGCACAUAAUGAUAGUUCCCGAAUUGUAGAUAAAGAGAGAGGUAUCACUCUUUGAAUUGAUAAAUCCAUAUGCAAGAAGAAAGGAGUGAAGUUCAUUGUACCAUGCCCGAGGAGUGAUUGCUUUAUGUAAUUUGAAAACAUGAGAAGGAUAUUGAAUGUCAACAAAUCCUUGAGGUUGUUGCAUGUAAACACAUUCAGAUAGAGUGCCUUGUAGGAAUGCAUUAUUAACAUCCAAUUGAUUCAAAACCCAACCACGAGUUAUGGCAAUAGUUAGAAGAAUGUGAAUUGUGGCUGGUUUAAUCACUAGGCUAAAAGUUUCUGUAAAGUCAAUUUUGAGUCGUUGAUGAAACCCUUUUGCCACAAGACGAGCUUUAUAACGAGCAACAGAGCCAUUUAGGUUCCUUUUGAUUUGAUAGACCCAUUUACAC
Molecule: long non-coding RNA, 1629 nt
Filed under: Olea europaea subsp. europaea
Lineage: Eukaryota; Viridiplantae; Streptophyta; Magnoliopsida; Lamiales; Oleaceae
Source: RNAcentral